AGGGAUCAUUACAGGACUCGCAAGACUCCCGUACAACCCCUGUGAACGUUACCUACAGUCGUUGCCUCGGCGGGUGCCCCGCGGACGCGAGUCCCCGGGGCGCUCCAGCCCGCCGGCGGCCCGCAACUCUCCUGUUUCUGCCCCUGGCAUCUCAGAGAAAACAUACAAACGAAUCAAAACUUUCAACAACGGAUCUCUUGGUUCUGGCAUCGAUGAAGAACGCAGCGAAAUGCGAUAAGUAAUGUGAAUUGCAGACUUCAGUGAAUCAUCGAAUCUUUGAACGCACAUUGCGCCCGCCGGUAUCCCGGCGGGCAUGCCUGUUCGAGCGUCAUUUCAAACCCCUCAGGCCCCGCCUGGUGUUGGAGCCCCUGCGGUCCGCAGGCUCCCAAAGACAGCGGCGGGCGCGCCCCGGUACUGAGCAUAGUAGUUACCUCUUGCUCGGGUCCCCCGGCGCGUCUCCGGCCGUUAAACCCCCCCCAUUUUAUCAUGGUUGACCUCGGAUCAGGUAGGAAUACCCGCUGAACUUAA
RNAcentral lists this ribosomal RNA (528 nucleotides) under Chaetosphaeriaceae sp. RNAcentral describes it as "eukaryotic LSU rRNA". The stretch from base 178 to 331 matches the Rfam family "5.8S ribosomal RNA". The record is from RNAcentral. Lineage: Eukaryota; Fungi; Ascomycota; Sordariomycetes; Chaetosphaeriales; Chaetosphaeriaceae.